AUUGAACGCUGGCGGCAGGCCUAACACAUGCAAGUCGAACGGUAGCACAGAGAGCUUGCCCUCGGGUGACGAGUGGCGGACGGGUGAGUAAUGUCUGGGAAACUGCCCGAUGGAGGGGGAUAACUACUGGAAACGGUAGCUGAUACCGCAUAACGUCGCAAGACCAAAGUGGGGGACCUUCGGGCCUCACACCAUCGGAUGUGCCCAGAUGGGAUUAGCUAGUAGGUGGGGUAAUGGCUCACCUAGGCGACGAUCCCUAGCUGGUCUGAGAGGAUGACCAGCCACACUGGAACUGAGACACGGUCCAGACUCCUACGGGAGGCAGCAGUGGGGAAUAUUGCACAAUGGGCGCAAGCCUGAUGCAGCCAUGCCGCGUGUAUGAAGAAGGCCUUCGGGUUGUAAAGUACUUUCAGCGGGGAGGAAGGCGGUGGAGUUAAUAACUUCACCGAUUGACGUUACCCGCAGAAGAAGCACCGGCUAACUCCGUGCCAGCAGCCGCCGUAA
RNAcentral lists this ribosomal RNA (504 nucleotides) under uncultured bacterium. RNAcentral's name for it is "partial 16S ribosomal RNA". It matches the Rfam family "Bacterial small subunit ribosomal RNA", at positions 30 to 523 of the family's 1533-position model. The record is from RNAcentral.